This 253-nucleotide ribosomal RNA is filed under the name uncultured bacterium. Its description in RNAcentral is "partial 16S ribosomal RNA". It matches the Rfam family "Bacterial small subunit ribosomal RNA", at positions 524 to 776 of the family's 1533-position model. The record is from RNAcentral.
UACGGGGGGGGCAAGCGUUGUUCGGAAUUACUGGGCGUAAAGGGCUCGUAGGCGGCCAACUAAGUCAUACGUGAAAUCCCUCGGCUUAACCGGGGAACUGCGUCUGAUACUGGAUGGCUUGAGUUCGGGAGAGGGAUGCGGAAUUCCAGGUGUAGCGGUGAAAUGCGUAGAUAUCUGGAGGAACACCGGUGGCGAAGGCGGGUCUCUGGGCCGACACUGACGCUGAGGCGCGAAAGCUAGGGGAGCAAACGGG